UACGAGGGGGGCAAGCGUUGUUCGGAAUCACUGGGCGUAAAGCGCGUGUAGGCGGCCCACUAAGUCUGAUGUGAAAGCCCGGGGCUCACCCCCGGAAGUGCAUUGGAAACUGGUGGACUCGAGUCCCGGAGAGGAGGGUGGAAUUCCUGGUGUAGCGGUGAAAUGCGUAGAUAUCAGGAGGAACACCGGUGGCGAAGGCGGCCCUCUGGACGGUGACUGACGCUGAGACGCGAAAGCGUGGGGAGCAAACAGG
RNAcentral lists this ribosomal RNA (253 nucleotides) under uncultured bacterium. Its description in RNAcentral is "partial 16S ribosomal RNA". It matches the Rfam family "Bacterial small subunit ribosomal RNA", at positions 524 to 776 of the family's 1533-position model. The record is from RNAcentral.